UGGCGGACGGGUGAGUAAUAUCUGGGAAACUGCCCGAUGGAGGGGGAUAACUACUGGAAACGGUAGCUAAUACCGCAUAACGUCGCAAGACCAAAGAGGGGACCUUCGGGCCUCUUGCCAUCGGAUGUGCCCAGAUGGGAUUAGCUAGUAGGUGGGGUAACGGCUCACCUAGGCGACGAUCCCUAGCUGGUCUGAGAGGAUGACCAGCCACACUGGAACUGAGACACGGUCCAG
This 234-nucleotide ribosomal RNA is filed under the name uncultured bacterium. Its description in RNAcentral is "partial 16S ribosomal RNA". It matches the Rfam family "Bacterial small subunit ribosomal RNA", at positions 96 to 334 of the family's 1533-position model. The record is from RNAcentral.